Bos taurus (domestic cattle) is the source of this 104-nucleotide small nuclear RNA. The record is from Ensembl. Lineage: Eukaryota; Metazoa; Chordata; Mammalia; Artiodactyla; Bovidae.
GGAAGCCCAGCAGUACAUAUAUUAAAAUUGGAAUGAUACAGAGAAGAUUAGCAUGGCCCCUGAGCAAAGAUGACACACAAAUUCAUGAAGUGUUCCAUAUUUUU